GCCGCUAUAGCUCAGUGGUAGAGCACUGGUCUCGUAAACCAGGGGUCGUGAGUUCAGUCCUCACUGGUGGCA
RNAcentral lists this transfer RNA (72 nucleotides) under Dermacentor silvarum. Its description in RNAcentral is "transfer RNA threonine (anticodon CGU)". It matches the Rfam family "tRNA". From Rfam's summary of the family: Transfer RNA (tRNA) molecules are approximately 80 nucleotides in length. Their secondary structure includes four short double-helical elements and three loops (D, anti-codon, and T loops). Lineage: Eukaryota; Metazoa; Arthropoda; Arachnida; Ixodida; Ixodidae. The record is from RNAcentral.